This is a long non-coding RNA of Vicia villosa (hairy vetch), 1678 nucleotides long. RefSeq lists it as uncharacterized. The record is from RefSeq and is a predicted model, not a curated record. Lineage: Eukaryota; Viridiplantae; Streptophyta; Magnoliopsida; Fabales; Fabaceae. The transcript has 6 exons.
ACAACUAUGCUUACUACUAUACUCAACAUGUCAAAUCAUUUUGCUACCUAAAAUCUGAAAAAUCUCUCUUUCUCUGAUUUCUUCUUCUUCCACCUUCCUCCCUCAUCCUCCCUCUAACACAUGUUCGUCUUCCACCUUCCUCCCUCCGUCUCCCUCUAAUAUAUUUUCUGCUUUCUUCCUCUUCAUUUCCCCUUUUCUUCAUCAUCUUCUUCAUUUCCCAAAACGAAACCGACACGGUUAUCAUGUUUUUUUGGAUUUCUGUUUAAAGAUACUGUUUAGAUAUUGUGGUUAGUGUUUUUGUGGUUUAUAUGAUGAUUUUGUGGUUAGGGUUUUUGUGAUUGUGGUUGAUAUCAUGAUUUUGUGGUUAGGGUUUUGAUGCUACUAUUGGCCAAAUAGAGGUUACCGGCGAUUAGUGUGGUGGUGGUGGUAGAAACGGGUUUCCGUCGACGAGUGUGGUGGUGGCCGAAAUCAGAAAGGUUUAUCUAUGACAUUUUCAACUUAUGUAGAAAGUGCAAGAUCUGAACUAAUUAUUAUUUAUCUAAAAUUAUUAUUAUUAUAGAUCUGAAAUUAUUAUUAUUUCCUCUCAAAUGAUAUUGAAGGUAUUGUCUUUGUUGGUUUGUUAUAUUAUUGUAUUUUUUGUGUUGAAGGUGAUUGCUGUUUGUUGAUUUGUUGUUGGUGUGGUUACAGGUUGAUGAAGGAGAUGGUGGUGUAGGUUUGAAUGGUGACCAUAUGUUAAAUAUGGUGAGUUAUUACUACUAUCAUAUGUUUCUGAUGGAUAUGUUUUUUUUACGACGUGUGCAGUUUUGCGAUGAUAUAUCUAUGGUGGCGGCUAAACGUUUCCGGCGACGAGAGUGGCUGUGGAUGGAUUCGAAAUGGUUGAAGUGUUUUAUCAACUAAAAUUACAAUGGGUAAACAAAACACUACUGAGGCCAUUUUCCACGGGUUUCCCAAUAUUGAUCAUACUUAAGACUUUGUGAGAAAGGAUAUCAUAGGAUGGCUUCAGUUUCUACGCCAUAAAGUAGGCUUUCAGGAUUUUCGUUUUGAUUUUGCAAAAGGCUAUUCACCAAAAUAUGUGAGAAUUAUCAACAACCGGGCUCAAUUAGUGCAUAUACCAGCCUCAUUGGAUCCUCGGAUACCGUUACCGUCAAAAGACUGCCCAAUUUGUGAUGCAACGGUUGGAGUUGUUAGGCACCACUAACAGUCUGAUGCCAGGCAGGAGUUAUUACAACAUCCUUAACUGACUGCAUGAACAAUCAGGAUUGCAGAACUUCAAUUCCUUAGCUGGAAAGUAGUAGCAGAUAACCCUGAUACAGGGAAAAUAGUGUGGAUUUUGAAUCUGCAGAAGCCAAAAAUAAAUCAAGUGGAUCAUCAACAAAGAAAUUUUGUGCUGCUGAGGUCCAUAGUCUCUUGGAGAGGGCAUGUUGUCUAUCCAAACAUUUCUUUGAGUUUGCAUAUUUUAUGUCAUUUAUGUCAACUUGAAAGUUUUCACUUUGCAUUUACAUCAAAAGGCUUUGUGAUCGGAUCUUAUUCUAUAACUUUUGUAAUCAUAUCACACGGGGCACAAAAUUGUUUUCUUUCCAAUUAGUUGGAUAAAACUUAGGUAGUGUUCUAUAGGUGCUACUCGAGUUGUUCAAUAUGUCAUAUACAUUACAUUUUUUAGUUAAACUUGACUUUUAAA